This is a long non-coding RNA of Triticum aestivum (bread wheat), 572 nucleotides long. RefSeq lists it as uncharacterized. The record is from RefSeq and is a predicted model, not a curated record. The transcript has 3 exons. NCBI's taxonomy places the organism in Eukaryota, Viridiplantae, Streptophyta, Magnoliopsida, Poales, Poaceae.
GGUCUCUUUUAUUUUUGAAUUUUUUUUCUCGCCUUUCUCUGUUUCCUUCCCCAUUUCGAGUGGCGAGAGCUUGCAGGCAGAGAUGGCCCCGGCUUGCUUCUCCUCAAGCGCGCGCUGAGGGAACAGGCGAAGUCGAGGCCAUGGCGAUUUGGCUGUGCUGUGUUCUCUGUUUCGCUUGAUUUCGUACCGCUCCUCUUUUCCUGUGGUGAUCUCCGAGCCCUGUGCCCCCCACCCUCCACCCAAUUGAGAUGGCGAGAUUGCGGAAAGCUUACAGGCAGGAACCCCAUGCCAUUUCUCCCUGGAAUCCAGAAUAAUUUUCCUGCUAGAUGCUGAGAAGUAGGAGAGGGGGCUGUUUCUAGGGAGAAGUGCUUAGUGAAAUGCAGGGUUGGAAACCUGGGACCCGUUUAGUUAUUGUGGGACAAGGACAACGACAUUCAGAGGACAGGAAGGAACAGAGGACAGAUGACAUUUGUCAAAUUCUGGAUGGCCAAAAAAUAUGACUGAAAGCGAAUUGAAUUUAAGUCAAAUGUAAAACAGACAGUCCCUAUAAAAAACUACAAGAUCAAUGCUCA